RNAcentral lists this long non-coding RNA (676 nucleotides) under Homo sapiens (human). RNAcentral describes it as "non-protein coding lnc-GLIS3-1:1". Lineage: Eukaryota; Metazoa; Chordata; Mammalia; Primates; Hominidae. The record is from RNAcentral.
CUGGAAGGAUCUACCGGAGUCCCUCUUCCCCUCCCCUUCUGGCUCUCCCCUCCGAUGUUGCUUGGUAAAGAUGCUCUUCCUAGGGCUACACAGCAUUCAAAACCAACUUGCUAUUGGUGUGCUUUUAGUAACCAGGGACUAUUUUAGGGGUUUACUAAUCAUAGAGAAUCUGGGGACAGUCUUAGGGAGAAGAAACUUCCUUGGAAAUAUAUUUCCCUUUAAACUUAGAACAGUUUUGCUUUAUUUGCUCCUGGUAAAGUCCGCAUUUAAAAAUAACAGUCAGCUGGGCGCAUGUUGAAAUGAACAAGUGUUUGAGUCAACCUCCACAGAAAUGUUUGAAAGAUUAAAAAUAUUUUAUUGGCCGCACAAUAUUGCAAGGAAGACAGCAACAUUGAAAUUACAAGUGUUUAAUUAAAUGUCUCUGGAUUGUGACAUUAGGUCAACUAGUUGAGGGCAACUCCAUUCAACUCAUGUAUAUAUUACAUUUAAUGUGGAAUGAGAGCAUUUUAAUAUGUGUAAUAAAAGAUAAGAGUCUCCAAAAGUAAGAGUGCAUAGAGCCUAUGAACUAUCAAAAUAACCUUGUCUACACUCCGUGAUGGUUCUUAUCACAAUGAUCAUUAUCUCUGUACCUCACAGGUGGAUUCUGAAUGGUGGGUCAAUGUCCAUAGGAAAUGGC